This is a long non-coding RNA of Bombus huntii, 7884 nucleotides long. RefSeq lists it as uncharacterized. NCBI's taxonomy places the organism in Eukaryota, Metazoa, Arthropoda, Insecta, Hymenoptera, Apidae. The transcript is spliced from 3 exons. The record is from RefSeq and is a predicted model, not a curated record.
UCAAACCGUUCGUUUACACCCGUUUCAUCGAUUCCAGGUACAUCCAAUUAUCCGCUAAACACACUGGAAAAUUCAACAGGUUGAAUUAUACGCAGGUACGUUUUCACGCGACAGUGAAUUAUUUAUUAAUUACGUUCGCGUAAUUAAAAGGUGAAAAGGUUUUUUCUAUUUUAUUGAUCAUUUCUGUUAAUUCUGUUGCUAUGAAAAUUUUUUAUUUGGACACCGACGAUGGAUAGAUGAUUUCAUCGUCGGUCAAACCCGAUUUAAUUCGAGAAAUUCUGCAAUGCUUAUCGAGGUAUUUUACUAUAUUAGGUUGUUGCAAAAGUGUCUUUCUUUUACAAACACGUCCUUUGCAACAAAUCUUUGUACAAAUAUGAAACCUAAUUUGUGAAAUAUUGUGGUGUUCGUCUGAAUGGAUCAUACGCGAUUCAAUGAAAUAAUAUAAAACAAAGAAUGUUUAAAAGAAUCUUCGGGAAGGGUAAACAUUCGCUAAGAGUUCGCUAGAGAAGUUUCUCUUGCGUCACAAAUGGCCCAGAUUGCCUACGAAAAAUUAAGAGUAACUAGAUGUCAGGACAUUAAAUUGUAUGAAGAUAACAGCGAAAAGUAUGUCGUGCUGUGACGAUGGCAAAAACCGAUUGCUCUUUUCGAAGAAGAAACUUCAGAUAGCGACGAUCUUGAACAUCUUGUUCGUCCUGCAAUCUUUAGAAUUGUCGUAGAAUCGACCGAACACGAAGAUUAUGUCACAGUGUUUGAAAUGAAAAUGUCUAUGGAAACAAAGUCAGCAAUGUCACGAUAACAAAAGCUGAUCUUCUCGAAGAAGAAACUUCAGAUAGCGACGAUUUUGAACAUCUCGUUGGUUCUGUAAUCUCUAGAAUUGUAGAAUCUGUUGAUUGAAAUGGGUUUGGGGUUAAUAAUUAAUCGAUCCACGGACCUCUGAUUUUCUCCAAUAUAUUUUUCCGCCUCGUACAACACGUCUUAAUACACAGAAUACACUCGGUCAAUUAACACGUGUUCGACUUCUAAGACAAAAGAGCGUCGUUAGAAGUCGUACCAACUUAGCUUGUAGUAACUAGCGAUCGUGCCAACCUAACAUUUCUCAACAGAAUCGACUGAACACGAAGAUCGUGUCACAGUGUUUGAAAUGAAAAUGUCUACGGAAACAAAGUCAGCAAUGUCAGGAUGGCAAAAACCGGACGCUCUUCUCGAAGAAGAAACUUCAGAUGGCGACGAUCUUGAACAUCUCAUUCCCUCUGUAAUCUUGAGAUUUGUUGUAGAAUCGACUGAACACGAAGAUCGUGUCACAGUGUUUGAAAUGAUAAUGUUUAACAUUAAACAAAGCAAACAAAGUCUGUGGUAUCACGAUAACUAAAACUGAUUGCACUUCUCGAAGAAAUGCUGUUUAAACGGCGAUUGGACAAAGCUGCAAAUAUUAUGACUAUUUUGUAACGUUUGGAAUCGUUACAGAGUCGAUGGAGCGCUAAGUUCGUGUCAUAGCGAUGCAGAUAGAACAAUGUCUAUAGAAGAAAAGCGUACGGUGUCGGUAUAGCAGAAAUCAUGACUUUUAAUGUCACGCGGAGACGUACCUUGCAUAUCGAAGAUAUACAACGUUUGUUAUUUGCCUUCACAAUGACGUUGAACAUAGCGAAGAUGCUGAUACGAAUAGGAACACUGUUAUUUUAUCGGCCGGUUCCAUUCGAUCGCAAUUCAUUCGCAGACAAAUUUAAUUGUCUUACCUUGUUGUUCGUCACACGACGUGGCCUUGUGCAAUUUUAGCAAACGUCGUCCGUAAACAGAAUCCGGGCACGAUAUCGGAUACGUUGCUUUGCGCGGUUGAUUUAUUAAUUAUUCAUCGACUCGUUCGGUUUCCGUUUGAACGUAUUUCAGCUGGAAUAAACGACGACUCAUGCAAAACCUACCUCGUGUAGACAAAAUUCCUGGCGAUUUUUCCUAACGAUAAAACGUUUAACAAGCAAACAUCGUAACACAUUGAUGUAAGAAACACCUGAACGUGUGACAAUAAACGAUCCAGUGAAUAAGAGACAUCCAAGAUCUAUCGUGACAUCGAGCAAGCAUUUGACAUUUAAAAUAAAAAUUCACCUGAUUCGACUAUCCUCAGUCGAGAUGAUGCCGCGUCUCGUUCAGAUUAGACGAGUUAUUUGGCUUGGCAACUAAGUGAUUGCAGAUUUUGUCAUUAGGUGGUAUUGACAAAAUCCGCAAUCACUUAGUUGCCAAUAUUAUACUCCAGUCGACCGAUCUAACGCUGGAAUCGUCGACGUUCGAAACGCAAAACGAAAGGAAAACGUACUUAUAGUGUUGCGUUGUUGGGUCAUUUUGGAUAUUCGUCAGCUCUAAACACGCGGUAUAACGAAACUGAUUCUGUAAUAGAAUUUUCGAAGCAUGGCAAUUUUCAUGGUAACGAAAGUAACUAAUAAAACAUCGACGCAGCUAAUAAAACAUCGACUUUGUUUUCUAAUUACCACGUCCAUGUAAAUAAGUCGUAAACAGAGCGUAAUAGCAGCUUAAAUAGAGGAAACUUUAGGACGAGAAAUUGUCAUAGCGCGUGUAUGUUUUACCAAAAACGAUGGGAUCGUUGCGAAUUACAAGUCGAUUGUUUAAACGUUUUUUUCUUUUUUUUUUAAUUCAAGUAACUCGUAGCAAAUAAAAAAGCUUGAGUUUAGAUAAUUCGGCUACCCUCAACGAAAUACGAAAGAGCUAAGCAACACGCAAAAAAAAAAAAACGAAUAACAAAAUUGUGCAAACGAACGCGCAUAUUGCAACGAGCGUCUCGUAAGCGCAGCUAAAUUUGCUCUCGUUAAGUCCUAUAUCUGGCUUGGCAACUAAGUGAUUGCGGAUUAUGUCAAUGCCACCUAAUGACAAAAUCCGUAAUCACUUAGCUGCCUGCCGAUAGAAAAGAAACUCUCUGGAAGGUUAAAUCGCACGUUGCCGAGCGUCGAAUUACAAUCGUCGUGAUAUCAGCAGGAGACCCGUUCGGCGAUCGACGCCCACCGAGCGAUAAAGCGCAUCGCUGACGCAAAAAUCAUGGCAAAAGCGAUUCGCGGCCGUUUAUGUAACGGCCAUGGCGAUUAAGCACUGGCAGGACAGAAAUACUUGCACGAAGCCCCGUUUACUCUCGUGGUGCGCGCGUAUGGCUUCGCCAACGUCAGCUCGAUGGAUUUCCUAUAAUUCUGGCAGCGAAAGUUCGCGUACAAAAUCGAGUGCAUAAACAUCGCCGUGUUUGUCGAUCAGGCGAUGUAAAAAUUUGUCAGAAGUUGAAAUCCUGAUCACGGAGAUACGCUCGUUUCAUAGAAAGAAGACCAAAAAGAAAACAGCCCAUUAACCUCACUAAAGAAACAAAAUAGUCAAACUCGAAGAUGGUAUCCCGCUGGGGUUAGCCAUCCACAUGUUAUUUAGCAAUUAAGUUAGACAAAUUUACCAAAUUUCCAGCUGGACAAAUUGUAAGGUACAAAUUAAAUAAUAAAAAAAAAGAAAUUUUGUGUGCUACACUAGAUUAGCCGUGUAGUAGUGACACACAUAUAUGAGUAUGAAUGUGUGGGAGUAUGUGCGUGCACAGCGUCUCGUAAAACAGACGAAUGCAACUGUUCCAUUGGUAAUGUGAUAUAGAAGAUGGCGAGACAAAGAGAGCACUGAGACGCGUGCAAAUGUAUAUCGACGAAUAUCUUGUACAUCGCAUAUUAAAUAAAUCUGAAACUAUUUUCAUAUCAAUUCUAAGUGUAAUCUAAGUGUUCCUAUACGUUUAUUUCGGCGAUUAAAACACUCUGACUGCCACGUCGAAAUCAUAUGUUUCGCUCAGGACUCCACGAGAGUAUUUUUAUUAUUCAAAGCAUAUAAUGGCGAAAUAAUAAUAAAUUGAUGAUGUAAGACAACAUUCUUCCCCAAUGGACCGUUUAUGUUAUUGGUAGUCACGGACGACCAUACUCGAAGAUGGUAUCCCGCUAGGGGUAGCCAUCCGCAUGUUAUUUAGCAAUUAAGUUAGACAAAUUUACCAAAUGUUCAGCUGGACAAAUUGUAAAGUACAAAUUAAAUAAUAAAAAAAAAAAAACGUACAUUGUGUCUCGUCCAGAACUGGCUGAACAUUUUGCUCGAUUUUUAUCAGUCGCUUUUCGUAAGAAGAUCGCGUGUUGAUUUUCUAACGUCGAUGCUAAUUCCAAGUGGAGAGUACUUUAAUGCAACACGGAGAAAGAGAACAAAUUUGUAGGUUUAAGAUCAUCAGGUUUAAACUGGAAACAGAUAGGAAAUUUCAUUCUGAUUCCAUUUAAUUUUACGGCGAUCGAUAUGAUCUGAAGUAUUGAAGAAAGCGACGGACGUUCGCGUUUAAUCGCCGAAAGCAAGUGAAAGCAGCCAGCGGUUUAAAUAUUUAAAAUUCUCAAUUACACCAUGGAUAUUUUUAUGCAAAUUCCUGUCUCUACGAACGUGAUUGAAAGAAUGGAACCUACGUAGAGACGAUAGUUUAACUUAUUUUAAGCAGUUAACUGUUUCUUGUCGAAUAUACUCGUCACGAAGAAAUGACAAUAUCUCGCGUUACGACCAGCAACUGUCGCUAAUAAAAUUCAAAAAUAAAGCAAUCGUUUCGAUACUCCGCGUUUCACCAGAUGUCGCUUACUUCUCGCCACGCAUUUCAGGUACACGUUUCAAAGUUUUUUCAAAGUUCUUAACACUUUACCGACCGCUUGCUCCGACCAGCAUCUCAGGCGCAGAUUCUCCCUGGCGCCAGCUGUGUUUCGGUUUAGACUCUCCAAUAUCAUUCUUUUCGUUCAUAGCGAACGAAAGUUUUUCAAAUUGGUAUAAAACUGUGAAAGCUUACAAAGCAAUGCAACUGAGCAAGGUACCUUACUACUAAAUAACAAAUUACUGCUCAAAUAAUGAGAAAAAUUGUCGACGACAAAACCCCGAUUAAUAGGCUAUCGGUCGGUAAAGUGUUAAGGAGAUCGCACCAGCUAACUGGCCAAACACCCCAUUUCUUUAUACUAUUGGUUGGCAACCAAGUGAUUGCGGAUUUUGUCAUUAGAUGGUAAUGACAAUCACUUAGUUGCCCACCCAAUACAUUUCCAAUAUUUUGUUCAUUUUCGAAUAUCAUGCGCAUUAAAAUCCACGCUUCUGCUCGUUCUAUUUUUCUCUCGUGUUCUUCGCAUGAGAUCGUAAUGCGGCAAUCUCGCGUCGCUCUGCAUUUUUCAUAGAAAAAUGAAGAGACGAUUGGAAGAGCGGAGAGUCGAUAUGGAAGCUGAAAGAGGGUCUCUUCUGAGAAAAAAAGAGAGAGAGAGAGAAAGAGAGAAAGAAAUAGCUGGAAUUCUUCCUCGUAUAAUAUCGUGGAAAUUACGAGAAGGAUAGCUCGUUAUCGUUCAGCAGGCACGGCGUGUUCCUGGUUUGGUGCGGUGGCGUUCGAGUAUCUGGUUUUUAACGAGCAGAAGAGGAAGGGGGAAGAAAAAAAUCCGGCUUCUCCGUAAAGUGGCAGGGAAGCAAAGACCGAGGUCAUGGUAGGGAAAAAGGGCGGCGGAGAGAAAGAGAAAGAGGGAGGAGGAACCGAAGUCUGACUCAAACCGUACGUAAGCUAUGUGUUCCACCUAUCGAAACUUACUCGUAACGUUACACUCGAACCGUGUAAUCUUAGACUAUUGUGAGCGGGGUUCUUUUACAUUCCAGACCACACUUGACUCAGCGUGACGAGACGCGGCAAGGCGCGGGAAUUUUAGAAGGCAAACGUAGCGUGGCGCGGAGACGCGACCGUCCUCUGGUAUUUCUCACUCGAAUUUGUCGUCGGUCGACGGUGAAUUCAUAAGUGUCGUUAAACAAGUGCGCUGCUAGGCCACGAGUACUAGUUUCUAUUUUUAAUUUCUAAUCAUUUUCUUUUCCUCUUUUUUUUCUUUUCUUUCUUCGUGUCUUAGUUUUAGUCGCAUCAAGUAUCAAUACAUCUUCAAAUAUCAGGUAGAAAAAUUUACCGAAUGUCCAGCUGGACAAAUUGUAAAGUAGAAACAAUUAAAAAAAAGAAAAGAGAAAAAAUUCUUCAAGUAUCAAGCUGCCCCAAAAGCGUCUUUCGCUAUCUGCACAUAGCUGCUUUAUCUGGCAAAGUUUAUACAAACGUUCUUUUUUUUAUUAUUUAAUUUGUGCUUUACAAUUUGUCCAGCUGGGCAUUUGCUAAAUUUUUCUAACUUAAUUGCUAAAUAGCAUGUGGAUGGCUACCCCAGCAGGACCUUUGAGUUUGACUAUUUUGUUUCUUUAUUGAGGUUAGUGGGAUGUUUUCUUUUUAGUCUUCUUUCUAUGAGAGUUUUGUACAAACGUGAAACCUAAUUUGUCCGACAUAAAUAGAACAGCGUGAUAGAACAAAACGGAUCGUUAUAAUUCGAUAAAAUAACGUGAAACAAAACAUGUUCUUUCUUAUAAAGUGUAUUUUUUUUUUUUUUUUUUUAAUAAAACGAGAGGAACUUUUGGCACAAUCUAACAUGAAAGAUGUUAUUUGCGAGACUCGUUAGUCGAGAAAUUAAAUCGCGUUGGUCGAUUAUUACAAAUCUACCGAUCUAUUCGUAUCGUACGUGUCUUGUAACGAAGAAACGCUACAUAAAAUAAGAUUUGUCGGAGUUUCGCAAUAAUCGUAAGCUAAUACGUAUCCCACCUUAUUCGAUGUACACGCUGAAAUUAAUACGGAUACCAUGGAAUACAACUCUGGAGAUCAACGAUCGGUAUCGCGAUAUCAGGGACAUUUCAAUCCAAAAUUCUAUCUACAACGAACGUAUCAUAGUGUGAUGAAAAAUGAUUCCUGAUAAAGUAAGAGAAUCUUCGAGUAACGACUGUAAAAAACAAAGAAAGAUAAUUACCAACGUCGCAUCUUUAAAUUGUUCUUGCAGUUUGGAAUUAUCGAUGAGACCUCUUUGUGUUUAAAAAUAAAUUUAUAAAAAUAAGAUUUUCUUCCUGAGAUAUUGAAUUCUUAUUAUAUUCGACUGGCAACUAAGUGAUUGCGGAUUUUGCCAACACCACCUAGCGACAAAAUCCGCAAUCUCCUAGUUGCCAACCUAAUAGAAAUGUACGAACACCUGCGGCUCGAGCAAUGUAGCGUUUCGUCGUUUUUGUUUCAUUUAAUCGAUUUUUAAAAGGAAAAAUAUACCAUACACUAUAUCUGUGUUGUUUUCUCCGUGUCUCUGAUUUGUUGCGACAAUUAACCGUCGUCCGAUAAACGACGCGCAAUUCGGUUCAACUGAAUCGCGCGUUUAUUGUUCGUGUGUUUAUUUGAAAGUAGAAUUAGACGAAAGGAGGGAAGAUGGACUAAUUGCUUUGAAAUUGUUGGCAGUAGUGCCGGACGAGUUCAGCUCUGGUCUGGUGCAAGAAGCUUGGGUCAUCGCCAUCGAAAGCUGGGUUCUAUCGCCGAUUAACGCGAACAAUCGGAAAACUGUUAGCCAAACACAAUGGCGCAAGGUUAUGGGUAGGAAGAGAGGAGGAACGAACCGAUGACACGAAAUAGGAAAUUCGACGAGUAUAGAAGCUAUGGAAGCGGCUCUCUGUUCGAUAACCAUUGUGCCCAGGUCUCGUAAUUUCCUGUUGGAACGUGGACAGCCCGUGGCUGGUACACGGUACUCUUAAACAACGAUCGUCGAUUGCUGCCUUUACAUCGUUACAUAACGCUAAAUUAUUCAUGCGGAAUACCACGCGUUUCCCGCGGCCGAUACUUUUCGCACACCCACCGAAAUUCCUCGGCCAACGUUUCAAUUAUUCAAGGCAUUAAUAUGUGAAAUUAUACGUAUCCUUAACCUACAAUCAGUCGAACGAUUUCAGAUGAAAGUGAUUCUUAUUGAAGAAUAUCGAGGAUUAUUUAUUUAAUACGAGGAUUGUUCUGGUAAAAAUUCUAUUAGUUUCGAAGAAACUUUCAAUACCAAGCGA